RNAcentral lists this long non-coding RNA (4017 nucleotides) under Cricetulus griseus (Chinese hamster). Its description in RNAcentral is "lncRNA (ENSCGRG00015038238.1)". Lineage: Eukaryota; Metazoa; Chordata; Mammalia; Rodentia; Cricetidae. The record is from RNAcentral.
CAGGCGGGCGGGCCUGGGUCUCGGCCCCGCCUGGGUGAACCGGCUUGGGAGGGAGCCAGCCGCCAGGCGUGUGGGUGCGCGCGUUUACGGGAGUGUCACCGAGAGAGAACCAGCCAGGGGGCGGGGUCUUUCAUUCCCCCAUUUCUCUUGUAACUGAAUGGAAUCUUUCAUUCAGAGGUCUCUGGAUAUUCUGGGUCUAUUAGAAUGUAGGGACCAAAUAUAAGGAUUUCUCGAGUGCAUUGACUGACUCUUCUAGGACCUGGAUAUCUGUGUGCAUGGCUUGUUGUAGAAGCUUAAAAUGAUUAAUUCCCUGUAAGGCAAUGGUUCCGGUCCCUAUGCCGGCUGCUAUGCCCCCCACUGUUAUCCCUCCUAAUAAUAGGGCCACGGUAAAGGAUAUUGGCUCCCUCUUAUAUCGGGUUGAUUUCCCUAAUACGCUGUAAACAUAUUCAGGUUGGUGAUAGUUUUUACUUUGAGUCUAAUUUUAAAGAUGGCCCCCCUGAUCUGGUCCCGACAGGUACCAGCGAAGGCCCCAAGCAUAUCCCUUCUGUCAUUUUGUUGCUUUCUUACCCUCAUCCGUAAAGGAAAUAAGGAGAGGCAUAGAGGAGAGGCAUAGAGGUGGUACCGGUGGAGCCCUUUUGCCAUCCUCUGGUUACCUGAAUCUUGUCCCAUGAGAAUGAAGGCUUCCAGUGAGCAUCCCCUGUCGUUUCGCAUCCCCUGUCUUUUCGCAUCCCCAUGCAAGGGAGUUCCUUUUGACUUAGCAUUUUAACCAGGGAAAAUGGACGGCGAAAUUCUUUUCCAAACUGCUUCCUGCUGACUUUGGGACGAAGUUAGGGACCCCAGAAGGUUGAAAUGCUAGUCAAAAGCAAAAAGGAAUUUAGGCAAUGGGGAAUCCAUCAGGGGCUUCUGGUUAGCAGCCAUUGUUGCAGAGACAGGGAGUGUCCAUAUCAGCUGGACUGUUUCACAUCCACAGCAAGUCCAGGGCUCGUAGUCUAUUUAGAACAGCCUGUAGUCCGCAACUGAUACUCAGAUGUCUGUCAGAAGCAGAAACCUGUUUAAGACAUAUUUAAACUAGGAACAGAGGUUAAAACUUAUUUAUUGAAGCCCAUAGUGCAGAAAAAGCAGAUAUCUGGAUAUCUGUUCAAACAGCAAGAACAUAUUUAUAACUUUGAGUCCUAGCAAAAACUACAGAUUUGGGCUAUAAACAUGUACAUUUCUCCUCUGUCCAGAGAGCCAGGUAUGGAUUGGACAGAGGUGCCUUUGGCCUGAUGAAAAGCCCUUUAAGUUUGUACUUAGAUGACAACCAAAAUAAAUUUUAAAAUUUUGAGCUCAUGCCUGAACAGUAUAUAGUCAUUAUUUUAUCAAUUAACAUACUGACUAGUCUAUAGUGGAUCUAACUGUCUGAUGCUGUCAAGCUGACAACCAGUAAUAUUUCAGAGAUCUGAGAAGGGUAUAUUUUAUCCGAAUCUAUUAAAAAGUGACAGAAGCCAGUUUAUAUACAGUUAGCCAAACCUAAGUUUCUCCAUCACCGUUGGAGGCAGCUGUCUCAAAGAACAGCAAUCUUCGCCAGGCCUAUAUUGUGAGAGUUUUUUUCCUCUCUGUGGAAGAGGGACAUGGAAAAGACUGACCUUGUUUUGUCUAGGCAAAGGGGUACAAUCAAUUUUCCAGUGUCCAGCAGCUUCGUCCACAGUCUCGGCCAGGUUCUGGCAGGCGGCAGGUUUCAUAUCUGAGCAUCUCGCUCAUUGGUCCAGGUGCAGGAACUGAGAUGCCUGUAAUCUUCGGGUCAUUGUCAGGAUCUGGCAGUCUGUCUGACAUUAUAAACUUUAAAGAUAACAAUUUAAAUGCCAUAUUCUGAAGAUCUCUGAAGCAUUAGAGGUCUGUUUGUCUGUUUUAAUUACUUGCCUUAAGCACACAUUAAGUAUACAGGUGGCUAGGUAAGGUCUUAUUUCUGUAAAUAAUUUUUAGUCUGACUGUAACUGGUUUUAACUUAGUAAGAUGUUUGAAACAGCACAGCUGAACUUAAAACUGCAUAGAGCUACCUUAUAUUCCUUAAACAGUAGCUUAACUUCUUUCUUAGGCAGGGUUUUUCUGUGACUUUGGAGCCUGUCCUGGAAUUCGAUCUGCCGGACCAGGCAGGCCUUGAACUCAUAAAGAUCCAUCUGCCUCUUACUCCCGAGUGGUGGGACUAAAGGCGUGUGUCAUCAAUGUUCUAAACUUAAGGCGUGUGCUACCUACACCCUGAGCUUAAAGGUGUGUGUUACCAACAUCCUAAACUUAUUUCUAAAAUAUAAACUGUAAUAUCUUAUAAUAGAUCAGCAUCUUUCAUAAAACAAAAACUUUACAUUGUCAGGCUUUGCUCAAAAAUAAUUCUAAAUUGAAGCUCUUUAAGUACAAACAUUAAUAAAAACAAACAUUAAAAAAACUGGUUUUUUUUUUAAAAGAAAUUUAAAUUCCCUUAAGGUCUUUCUGUAAUAUAUAGAAGCAUUAACAUUUUAAAUCUUAACUGAAAAACUUGUUUCUAAGAUGGUAUCUCUAAUUUCCAUGCGGUCAUCUUUAGUCAAGAUGGUGGUUUAAGUAUUUUUUUUUUUUAAUUUUAGCAAAAUGGCGACCAGUCAAGUCAUGUGAACAUUUUGCCAUGUGCUGGCUACCGGGAAACAGAACAUUUUAAAACAAGUAUAUAUAAUUUACUUGAGAAAUAAACAGGACCUUUUAAAACAGAAUUAGCUUAAUAUGAUUAAACAUGAGAAACCAUAGCAUAGUUUAUAUUUUUCUCUGACUUAUAACAACCCUUUUUUUUCUGACUUUUAACAACCUUUUUUUUUUGACCUUUUACAACUUGCUUUAACCCUCUAUUACUUUCUGUAACAAUCUUCUCUGCUAUGACUUGCUUUAACCCUCUAUAACCUUUUAGUUCAUUUCUCUGACUCUCUUAGACAUUUUUAGACAAGUUUUCUUUUUUUCUUUCUUUCUUUAUUAUUUAAGUUUCUUAUAUUUUUUUUUCUUCUCAGUCAACAUAAAAAUUUUAUUAAACUCUUUUUACAGUUCUUAAUAACUUUAAGGCCGUUUAGAUGUCCUGGCGGGGGCUCCUCAGUCAAUUCUCCCGGGGGGAGUACCUCAGGUGUCUUCUCUUUUACCUGAAAUAUAGUUUGGGGGGUCAAAGGCUGGCCAUUCUGAGGAACAAAGAGUAAUCCAUUUGCGUUUAUGCACAUCAACUACAAAACAAAGACCAAACAACACAGAACAGGCUUUCGCAGUGCGGUUUCGACAGAGAGUCGAAAGUAAGAAUUGAGAGGGGGGUCGAAGAAGGGGGCCCUCCUUCUUCGUCCCCAGUAAAGAUUGCAAAUCCCUCAAGCCGAGGGCCUUCUCCAAAGAGACUGGGAAGAUGUCCAGUCAUAAAUCUCAGCUCAAAACCAAAAGUACAAAGGUGAGCCCACUAAGGCCUCAAUCGCUACCAGGACGUCUCCUGGAGCCGAGGUCGGGAGUCCGAACCCGUCAGUUCCUCCCCGGAGCCGCCAAAUACAAUUGUACGCAGCUGGGUACUACACAAACGCAGGCGCAGUUCAUAAGACGGAUUCAGACAGACAGACAAGACACAAGACAGCGGAUCCGCACAACGCUUACCUCCCAGACGUGGGUCGGUGGUCCCUGGGCGGGUCUCGAUCCCGGACCGAGCCCCCAAAUGAAAGACCUCAGAAGAGGUACUUUCGUAGAAGGAGACCCGCACCCAGGAAUCGGCGAAACCACGAACUUUGGAUGCAAAAGCAAGAGGUUUUAUUGAUGGCGAGCUUACCCGGGGGCUUAGCUUUUGUUAGGCCAAGCCCCGAGCCAAGGGAGAGGGGUCCUUAUAUAGCUAAAAGCACAGUGCAGAAACGAAAAGCAUAGUUACAGGGAUUCUAUUGGACAAUUUAAUGAGGUACAGAGUUAUUUUAGGUCAGUAUAUUCUCAAGGUCUGCACCUGGUACAACAGACCCAAUUCCCCCCUCCGCGUCCAGAUGGCUGACCUUGGGACGGAGGUUCCCC